AUACUUACCUGGCAGGGGAGCUACCAUGACCAUGAAGGCGGUUUUCCCAUUGCACUCUGGAUGUGCUGACCCCUGCGAUUUCCCCAAAUGUGGGAAACUCGACUGCAUAAUUUGUGGUAGUGGGGGACUGCAUUUGCACUUUUCCCUG
Molecule: small nuclear RNA, 148 nt
Filed under: Castor canadensis (American beaver)
Lineage: Eukaryota; Metazoa; Chordata; Mammalia; Rodentia; Castoridae
Description: U1 spliceosomal RNA (ENSCCNG00000027939.1)
Rfam family: U1 spliceosomal RNA
About the family: U1 is a small nuclear RNA (snRNA) component of the spliceosome (involved in pre-mRNA splicing). Its 5' end forms complementary base pairs with the 5' splice junction, thus defining the 5' donor site of an intron. There are significant differences in sequence and secondary structure between metazoan and yeast U1 snRNAs, the latter being much longer (568 nucleotides as compared to 164 nucleotides in human).
Source: Rfam by way of RNAcentral